RNAcentral lists this transfer RNA (82 nucleotides) under Dreissena polymorpha. RNAcentral's name for it is "transfer RNA serine (anticodon UGA)". It matches the Rfam family "tRNA". Rfam says of the family: Transfer RNA (tRNA) molecules are approximately 80 nucleotides in length. Their secondary structure includes four short double-helical elements and three loops (D, anti-codon, and T loops). Further hydrogen bonds mediate the characteristic L-shaped molecular structure. tRNAs have two regions of fundamental functional importance: the anti-codon, which is responsible for specific mRNA codon recognition, and the 3' end, to which the tRNAs corresponding amino acid is attached (by aminoacyl-tRNA synthetases). tRNAs cope with the degeneracy of the genetic code in two manners: having more than one tRNA (with a specific anti-codon) for a particular amino acid; and 'wobble' base-pairing, i.e. permitting non-standard base-pairing at the 3rd anti-codon position. The record is from Rfam by way of RNAcentral. Lineage: Eukaryota; Metazoa; Mollusca; Bivalvia; Myida; Dreissenidae.
GCUGUGAUGGCCGAGUGGUUAAGGCGUUGGACUUGAAAUCCAAUGGGAUCUUCCCGCGCAGGUUCAAACCCUGCUCGCAGCG